This 697-nucleotide ribosomal RNA is filed under the name thermophilic bacterium enrichment culture clone OTU_1. Its description in RNAcentral is "bacterial SSU rRNA". It matches the Rfam family "Bacterial small subunit ribosomal RNA", at positions 52 to 763 of the family's 1533-position model. The record is from RNAcentral.
UACCAUGCAGUCGAGCGAAGGGAGUACUACGGUACGAACUUAGCGGCGGACGGGUGAGUAACGCGUGGACAAUCUACCCUGUAGACUGGGAUAACACCUCGAAAGGGGUGCUAAUACCGGAUAAUGUCGAGAAGCGGCAUCGCUUUUCGAAGAAAGGAGGGAAUCCGCUAUAGGAGGAGUCCGCGUCCCAUUAGCUAGUUGGUGAGGGUAACGGCCCACCAAGGCGACGAUGGGUAGCCGGCCUGAGAGGGUGAACGGCCACACUGGAACUGAGACACGGUCCAGACUCCUACGGGAGGCAGCAGUGGGGAAUAUUGUGCAAUGGGGGAAACCCUGACACAGCGACGCCGCGUGAGUGAAGAAGGCCUUCGGGUCGUAAAGCUCAAUAGUAUGGGAAGAAAGAAAUGACGGUACCAUACGAAAGCCCCGGCUAACUACGUGCCAGCAGCCGCGGUAAUACGUAGGGGGCGAGCGUUGUCCGGAAUUACUGGGCGUAAAGAGCACGUAGGCGGCUAUAAAAGUCAGAUGUGAAAAACCUGGGCUCAACCGAGGGUAUGCAUCUGAAACUAAAUAGCUUGAGUCAAGGAGAGGAGAGCGGAAUUCCUGGUGUAGCGGUGAAAUGCGUAGAGAUCAGGAAGAAUACCAGUGGCGAAAGCGGCUCUCUGGACUUGAACUGACGCUGAGGUGCGAAAGCGUG